This 98-nucleotide ribosomal RNA is filed under the name Periophthalmus magnuspinnatus. Lineage: Eukaryota; Metazoa; Chordata; Actinopteri; Gobiiformes; Gobiidae. The record is from RNAcentral.
UACCAGCGUGUCAAAGCUUGAACUCAUCAGAUCUCAGAAGCUAAGCGGGGCUGGGGCUGGUUAGCACUUGGAUAGGAGACCGCUGGGAGUACCAAGUG